Molecule: long non-coding RNA, 4703 nt
Filed under: Homo sapiens (human)
Lineage: Eukaryota; Metazoa; Chordata; Mammalia; Primates; Hominidae
Description: HSALNT0344336
Source: RNAcentral
ACUCAAGGGUGAGCCCUUCCCUGGGGGUGCAGCCUUCGCUGGAGGGUGCAUCCUCCCCUCGGGGUGCGCCGUGGCACAUGUUGCCUCUCCACUCACUGCUCUUUCUUGGCUGCCUCCUUCCUGGUGAGUCCUUUCCCGCUGUUGCUCACUAUCUGCGGAUUUCUGAUCACUUGUCUUCCCUCUUGAGCUUGGUGAACAGACCAGGAGGAGGGCACAGGAUGACCCCCAUGGCUCCCCGAACAUUUCUAAGACCAAAACCAAAAAGCCCAAGGGGAGAGGACCGGACCCCACUCAGGGCUCAGAAAGCUGAUGCCUGGCGCCCCGCAGUGGCGUGGGGUGGUCUUGCGUGGCUGUGGACCCCUCAACCAGGCAGGCGAGAGCAGGGAGGGAAGUGGGUACAAGUGAGCAAGUGUGUGAGUGUGUGGGAGUAUGACUGUUAGUGUGUGUGUGUCUGAGUGUAUGUGUGACUGUGUAUGUGUGUCUGAGUGUUAGUGUGUGUGUGAGUGCGUGGGAGUUUGUGUGUCUGAGUGUAAGUAUGUGUGUCUGAGUAUAUGUGACUGCGUAUGUGUGUCUGAGUGUUAGUGUGAGUGUGUGUGUCUGCGUGUUCGCGUGUGUCUGAGUGUAUGUGUAUGUGUCUGAGUAUGUGUGACUGUGUAUGUGUGUCUGAGAGUUAGUGUGUGUGUGUCUGCAUUUAGUGUGUGAGUGUGUGUCUGAGGGUUAGUGUGUGUGUCUCAGUGUUAGUGUGUGGGAGUGUGUGUGAGUGUGAGUGGGUGUCUGAGUGUUAGUAUGUGUCUGAGUGUUAGUGUGGGAGUAUGUCUGAGUGUGUGUAUCUGUUAGUGUGUGAGCGUAUGAGUGUGAGUGUGUGCAUGCUGGGAAGAGACAUGGGCUAAGAAUAAAACACUUUCCCAGAGUGUAGCAAAUAAUAGCAAAGUUCACCCAUCAGUUCUCCUGCCUUAAGCAACUAUGGGCUUUCACUCUUCAACUUUCUUCUCUCUCUCUCUCUCUCACACACACACACACACACACACCAUGAGACCUCUUCUGAGCUCUCCUGGCAAGGUUGGGCUCCCUGCUGCCCCCAUAUCCCCUCACUUACACCAAGUUCCGUCCCCCUGACUGGAAUGUUUGGGGUGAGAGCCCCUCCUUUGUCCUAUUUGCACCAGCGUCAGCUGAACGUGUUAGGAAGUGUGACCGCCGCCUCUCAUGGACCCCAGAACAACCUCCUGUUCGCACAGGGGCCCACUCCUAAUCUUCUGGAGUUGGCAUCAUGGGAGAUGACCAAACUCUCCUGAAAAGUCUUGCGCAGUACCAUGAUCAAUAAAACUAGGAGAGUAUAACAGAACGCUCUGAAUUUGGAGCCAGAAAACCUUGAUUCAGGUCCUUCAUGUGGCCUUGGGCAAAUCACUUAACCUUUCUGAGCCUGUACCCUCAACCGUAUCUUCCUGUUUCUUAAGAUCAAUGUGAGGUUUAAUGAUAAAUAACUCUUAAAAGGGCUUUGCAUCAUGCUUGGGCAUUUUGGCUAUUCAAGAACCUCGCGCUGCAUGAAGAAAGAUGCAUUCUGUGUGACUCUGGAGGCUUUUCGAGCAGAGAGAAACAGCAGGUUCACAGCCCUCGGCUUGUUCCUCCUCCUGCUCACACUUCACCCUUCACCCUGGCUGACCUGCGUGUGCCAAACACGGUUGUGAGCUCCCACAGAACGAGGAGAGGCAGCCCGUUCCGCUGCAUCUCCCCAGGGCACCGGCAAGGACAGGCAAAGCCUCGUUGACUGAAUUCACGGAGAGCAGAGACUGCGCCCAGGCCUCGACCCCAGGACUUCUGUGUUGUGUGAGACGUGCUAGUGAUGCCGCUUUAAGCUCUGCUUUGAAAAUGGUCCUUUGACAGAUUCUGAAUGCAAGUGGCCUCCUUACGAGAUCCUGCAGAAUAACAAGGACAACUUAUCACAACUUCCUCAUUGUAAAAUCCAGCUCAGAUUGCAGUUGAAGAUCACAAAUGCUCUCUGUUUCACUUUGCGAUGUUUGUGGUGUCUAAUACAGCAACACAAGCCUAGGUUUCUGUGCAAAGACUUCCUUAUUGUUUAUUUACUAUCCACUUCCUCUGAGCAGGACUGAUCGACUUUUCACUUCUUAGGCCCCUGGUGGGUGGCCUAACAUUGGGAACGUCUCUGGGAAUCAAUGGCCUCCCAUGCUAUUGCCCUAAGAGGAAAAACUAUGGACCCAUUUCCGGCUCGUGAGUUGGAAGUGGAGGUCUGCUGGCGGCCUUUGUCUCCCUGCCUUCCCCUCCUGUCACUGGCUGGAACAUGUGCUUGAUGCCUGGCGUUCAGCAGCCCUGUUGAAACUGUGAGGUGACUGGCAGGUGUCAGAAGGAAAGCAAACUGCCUAGUGACGGCAGAGGCUGCAUGCACUCCACUGCCCUCUGCUCCACUGUCCACUCACCUCCGCUGGCUCUGUGCCCCAAGGCCCUGGCCUCUAUGGCCGGCAUCCAUGGGCUUCCCUAUCCUCUGGCCUCCAGGUGGAUUCAGUCACAGCAGAAGCUGGGAGGGGCAGCUGGAGGUUGGAGAAACAUGAGGCUAGUGUCCAGUUCCCUCCCUGGCCGAGGCAGCCGUGGAGGUGCUCCUUUCCAGGAAGCCAGCACUCCUUUCCGGUGGUCCUGCUCUGACCACGGCAGCUCGAGCUGAGCACAGAGUGACGGCUACAGCUCCCUCCACAUCUGGCCUGGGGUGGGAACAGCUCCUGGAUGCUUCUUCUUCCUGUGCUGGCAUCCCUUAGUCCCUCCCACCUUUUUUUUUUUAAUAUAAUAAACCUGCUUUGUUCAAUCCUCCUCAACCACCCACUGAAGCAAGCCCUCCUUUCCUUGCCGGGACCCAGAGAGCUGCUGGGAAAGAAAGGGUGGGCCCCCCGCAGUGUGGUCAGCACCUGGGCAGACCCCACCCACCUUCUAUGAUGAAAGCCCUGGAUGGAUUCCUAUCCCCACCCUGAGCUCCUCCCCUAACUCCCCAAAACAUUGGGAAGAUGGGCCUUCUGUCCUGGAAGGGCCAGUCUCCUGGGCAGAGCGCUAUGCAUAAGAAGGAAAGCCGUGUUACUCAAUGGUUCUACUGAACCACUAAGCAACAGGGGCUCUGGGGGCACUGUGGAGAUAGAGAACCCUUAGGAAGGCGAUGCUGGAUCCUAUGGGUCUCAACAGAGGGCCUUACGGGUAGGCCCUGUAGGAGGGACUGGGAGGCACAGGUCCCAGGAACACGUGUGCUGGGCACACGUGAGUACAUGCAGGGUCAAAGCUGGCAGGCAGACGGGUUGAGCCUCUCCGUGCUCCCACGGGGUCUGCAUCAGAUUUUGCACUUAGCAAGCGAAUUUGCUUCCCAGGGCCACUGUAACAACCAACCACGAAUGGGAGGCUCAACACAACUGAAACGCACGUCCUCACAGUCCUGGAGGCCCGAACUCCAAAACCAAGGCGCCAGCAGGGCCACGCUUCCUCCACGGAGCCUCGGGGAGCAGACGGUCUUGAGACGAGACUUGCUCCCGCAACCCUUUCCCAGCUGCAGCUGCCUCUCCGCCAUCUCUGCCUCCGUGGCCACGCGGCAUCUUCUCCCUGGCAUGGGCUGAACCACCGCAUCUCGGGCAGGUCUGACGGCGUUUCUAUCAGCACAGCCCACAAUGAUGGUCUUCUCCCUCGCUUCCUGAUUUUGUUUGACAUCCAACCUCCUCUCAGAUGCUGUAAACUAUAAGCUGUACCAUUGUUUUAUGCACUAACAGGGAAGAAAAAAAUGCUGGCAACUAAACCGUGAGGUCCCUUCAAGAGUAAAAUGGAACCUAAGAGGAAGACGGAACCUAACAGAGAUGUCGGGAGGAGAAGCAGCAUGCAUCUUAGAAUUGAUAAGCACGAUACAUGACGACAGGUGUUUUGGUUUUUUGUUUGUUUGUUUGUUUGUUUUUGAGACAGUCUCGCUCCCUCUCCAGGCUGGAGUGCAAUGGCGUGAUUUCAGCUCACUGCAACCUCCACUUUCCGAGUUCAAGCGAUUCUCCUGCCUCAGCCUUCCAAGUAGCUGGGAUUACAGGCACGUGCCACCACACCCGGCUAAUUUUUGUAUUUUUAUUAGAGAUGGGGUUUCACCAUGUGACAACAGGCUUUUUAAUUAGACACGCCCACCCCCAUCGUGAGGUCAUCGUUUUCUGCCGGGAGCCUCCUGGGCCCUGCAAGGUUCCAUGUUGUUCCGGCUGUGUUGGACACUGCUGCCAACGGCUUUUGGUUGCUCACAGGACUGGGUGGUGCUAAUCCUAAGGACUGUAGGGGGCGGGGGGCGGCAUCUGCAGGGGAGAGCACUGGGAGCACGUGGCCCUGCAGGUGUGACCAGGACCCAAAGAGCUCCUGGCAUAUAGCAACUGCUCAAACCAUGUCUGCUCAGGAACAAGCGAGUGAAUAACUGUCCAAAUUCUUCAUUUGAGAAAUAAGGCACAGAUAUGGUUUAGCUGGGUCCCCACCCAAAUCUCACCUUGAAUUAUAAUAACCCCCACAUGUCGAGGGUGGGGCCAGGUGGAGAUAAUUGAAUCAAGGGGUUGGUUCCCCUCACACCAUUCUCAUGGUAGGGAAUCAGUCUUAUGGGAUCUAAUGGUUUUAUAGAGGGGAGUUCCCCUGCACACGCUCUCUUGCUGCCACCAUGUAAGAUGUGACUUUGCUCCUCCUUUGCCUUCUGCCAUGAUUGCGAG